GACGAACGCUGGCGGCGUGCCUAAUACAUGCAAGUCGAGCGGACUUGACAGAGCUUGCUCUGUUCAAGUUAGCGGCGGACGGGUGAGUAACACGUGGGCAACCUGCCCUGCAGAUUGGGAUAACUCCGGGAAACCGGGGCUAAUACCGAAUAACAUUGGAAACCUCAUGGUUUCCGUUUUAAAAGGCGGCUUCGGCUGUCACUGCAGGAUGGGCCCGCGGCGCAUUAGCUAGUUGGUGAGGUAACGGCUCACCAAGGCGACGAUGCGUAGCCGACCUGAGAGGGUGAUCGGCCACACUGGGACUGAGACACGGCCCAGACUCCUACGGGAGGCAGCAGUAGGGAAUCUUCCGCAAUGGACGAAAGUCUGACGGAGCAACGCCGCGUGAGUGAAGAAGGUUUUCGGAUCGUAAAACUCUGUUGUCAGGGAAGAACAAGUACGGGAGUAACUGCCCGUACCUUGACGGUACCUGGCCAGAAAGCCACGGCUAACUACGUG
This 498-nucleotide ribosomal RNA is filed under the name uncultured bacterium. RNAcentral describes it as "bacterial SSU rRNA". It matches the Rfam family "Bacterial small subunit ribosomal RNA", at positions 28 to 507 of the family's 1533-position model. The record is from RNAcentral.